UGCAAACAUAGCACAUCAUGAAGCCAUGUCCAGGGAUGCUAGGCUACUUUGGGUGAUGCCCACUGCUAAUACUUCAGGUACAACAAUGGUAAAGCCAGACAGGGUGGAUGGCCCAUCAGUGAGGACAAUGAGUUGUGAAAAGCUUGGCCUUCCUGUGGAUGCUCCAUACUGCCACUGACUCAUGGACGCUGUGAUACUACAGGGUCAAGUGGUCUUGUCACAUGCUACUAAAACAUUACCUGGGACUUCUUGUAACUUUCCACUGUGAGGGAAGGGGGGUCAAGUUUGGGAAACAAAGGAUUCUCGCCGUAUGUAAAUCCUAUUUAAGGGUGGGGAGGAAGGCAAACAGGACUCCUCCUCUCCAUGGCCUGACUGCCCAAGAAGAAAAACUGAAGGCAAGGGGGGAGUCCAGACUGAGACGGGGUCCAGUCUGAAAAGGAAUAUAACUGGAACUCUGAACCACAGAAGGUUUGCAGACUGCCUGCAACAAUAUCUAGGGUGAGAAGUACUAUUUGUAACCAAUUUCUUUAGUGAAACCAGCUUGGUUUGCCUGUUUGAUUUUAUUUGCUUAGUAAUCUGCUUUGUUCUGUUUGUUACCCCUUUUACCACUUAAUAUCUGCCUUUUAUAGUUAAUAAAAUGUGUUUUAUUAUUAAA
Molecule: long non-coding RNA, 655 nt
Organism: Malaclemys terrapin pileata
Lineage: Eukaryota; Metazoa; Chordata; Testudines; Emydidae
Exons: 2
Source: RefSeq, a predicted model, not a curated record